AGAGUUUGAUCAUGGCUCAGGAUGUACGCCGGCGGUGUGCCUAAUACAUGCAAGUCGUACGCACUGGCCCAACUGAUUGAUGGUGCUUGCACCUGAUUGACGAUGGAUCACCAGUGAGUGGCGGACGGGUGAGUAACACGUAGGUAACCUGCCCCGGAGCGGGGGAUAACAUUUGGAAACAGAUGCUAAUACCGCAUAACAACAAAAGCCACAUGGCUUUUGUUUGAAAGAUGGCUUUGGCUAUCACUCUGGGAUGGACCUGCGGUGCAUUAGCUAGUUGGUAAGGUAACGGCUUACCAAGGCGAUGAUGCAUAGCCGAGUUGAGAGACUGAUCGGCCACAAUGGAACUGAGACACGGUCCAUACUCCUACGGGAGGCAGCAGUAGGGAAUCUUCCACAAUGGGCGCAAGCCUGAUGGAGCAACACCGCGUGAGUGAAGAAGGGUUUCGGCUCGUAAAGCUCUGUUGUUGGAGAAGAACGUGCGUGAGAGUAACUGUUCACGCAGUGACGGUAUCCAACCAGAAAGUCACGGCUAACUACGUGCCAGCAGCCGCGGCAAUACGUAGGUGGCAAGCGUUAUCCGGAUUUAUUGGGCGUAAAGCGAGCGCAGGCGGUUGCUUAGGUCUGAUGUGAAAGCCUUCGGCUUAACCGAAGAAGUGCAUCGGAAACCGGGCAACUUGAGUGCAGAAGAGGACAGUGGAACUCCAUGUGUAGCGGUGGAAUGCGUAGAUAUAUGGAAGAACACCAGUGGCGAAGGCGGCUGUCUGGUCUGCAACUGACGCUGAGGCUCGAAAGCAUGGGUAGCGAACAGGAUUAGAUACCCUGGUAGUCCAUGCCGUAAACGAUGAGUGCUAGGUGUUGGAGGGUUUCCGCCCUUCAGUGCCGGAGCU
RNAcentral lists this ribosomal RNA (890 nucleotides) under uncultured bacterium. RNAcentral's name for it is "bacterial SSU rRNA". It matches the Rfam family "Bacterial small subunit ribosomal RNA", at positions 8 to 853 of the family's 1533-position model. The record is from RNAcentral.